Molecule: long non-coding RNA, 780 nt
Organism: Rosa chinensis
Lineage: Eukaryota; Viridiplantae; Streptophyta; Magnoliopsida; Rosales; Rosaceae
Exons: 3
Source: RefSeq, a predicted model, not a curated record
UGGUGCAUUGGUUAGAGACUCCUUCAGUUUUCAUCUUGCCAUUUUCUACACUCGGAUUGAAAUUCAGAACUAUGGUGGCUUGUGAUUGUAUGGCAGAUUGACAUAACGUACCGUCACUCCAAUACAUGCACAAUCCAUGUUGAAACUCUCGUUCUACGUAAGGUCCUACCCGUCUACUAAGAUAGAAAUCGUUACCCGGCCAAAGUUUACGUCAUGAUUGAAAAUUAGUAAACGGCAUGUUUUGAGAUCAAAUUGUUCUGGUGCAUCUCAUGAUUGCUAAGUUGUGAACAUCCAAUCCAAUUUUUCCAAUUGGUCACCAAAAGCCUAACGAUUUAUUGCAUGGUCCAAACUCCAAAGGACUCCAACUAGAAUCUUCUUGCGUUCAUAUCUGCAUGUCAUGGGAAUAGGCUUUUCCACUGUGUUUUCAGAGUACAACUCAGCAGGAAUGAAGGAUGAAGAGCUGACAUACAAAAAAAGAAGAAAGGCUUGACGUAAAGUAACCCCCAAAAACUAACUCGUGCAUAUGGCGGGGAUUGAUCAAGUGUAAAACAAUCAACAUUCCAAGGAGAUGGAUUAAUUUUAUCUAGCAGAUUGUGUUUGGCUCCAAAACCAGUCUGGUUGCAAACAGUUUUUUUUUAGCGUGCGCAGGCGUGCCAGCACCGUGGGGUGCAGUCGUUGGGGAGUCUCUUGACCUGACUUAUUCUUAAACGCUGUGGACGAGGAGAGCACCAACCUCGUCACCAGGUUCUUUUCUAUGCAUUCUGGAAAAUGACUUCUUGC